AUACUUAUAAUGAUGAGUGGUGCAGUAUUCUAGUCGGUUCUUCACUCUCGAAAGCGGGCCUAAAAAUCCGCUAAAGGGCACAUCGAUGAAGUUUCUAGUUCUGGCUUGAGGCGCCCAGCCUUGGGUCAUUACUGGGAGUAAAGGUCGUAGGGCGAUCUACAAUGGCAUGUAGGCGUGAACCCUGCACCGUGGAGGCCCUUGCAUGCUGUGAGCUGACCGGCAAGCGGUGUGCAAGGGUAUGAACCUGUUUUGCAAGUUGUGGGAGACUUGUGAGCAGCGUAGCCUGCCUUGAGUGGAGUAUGAGGGGAUUAUUUUCGGUUUUCCCGGAAGUAUGAAAUCAUCUCUGCAAAAGAGGAUAGAGAGUGGCCGGAACUGCCGAAGAAAAUUCCUAGACUGUUUGUAAAACAGGCAAAAGGGAUUAUAGUGCGUUCUAAGUGGUAAUCCAGUCCGGCGAAUGGCGACAUCGCCGAGGCGGGGGUAAAGGGAAACCGCCGGUGCGGCGACGCAUCGGUCUCCGCCUGGGAAAACCAACUGGACCUAAGGCGCAGUCUUUACCUUCUGUCUGACCACUCAUCAGAGCGAAAGU
RNAcentral lists this small RNA (586 nucleotides) under Actinophytocola xinjiangensis. The record is from RNAcentral. RNAcentral also lists the same sequence under 1 other name. Lineage: Bacteria; Bacillati; Actinomycetota; Actinomycetes; Pseudonocardiales; Pseudonocardiaceae.